RNAcentral lists this ribosomal RNA (386 nucleotides) under uncultured bacterium. RNAcentral describes it as "bacterial SSU rRNA". It matches the Rfam family "Bacterial small subunit ribosomal RNA", at positions 28 to 402 of the family's 1533-position model. The record is from RNAcentral.
GAUGAACGCUAGCGGCAGGCUUAACACAUGCAAGUCGAGGGGCAGCAUGACACGGAGAUUCGUCGAAGUGUUGAUGGCGACCGGCGCAAGGGUGCGUAACGCGUGAGCAACUUGCCCGUUUCUGGGGAAUAACCGUUGGAAACGACGACUAAUACCCCAUAGUAUCAGAUGGAGGCAUCUUCAUCUGAUUAAAGAAAUUCGGAAACGGAUAGGCUCGCGUGACAUUAGCUAGAUGGCGGGGUAACGGCCCACCAUGGCGACGAUGUCUAGGGGUUCUGAGAGGAAGGUCCCCCACACUGGAACUGAGACACGGUCCAGACUCCUACGGGAGGCAGCAGUGAGGAAUAUUGGUCAAUGGUCUGACGACUGAACCAGCCAUGCCGCGU